This 450-nucleotide ribosomal RNA is filed under the name uncultured bacterium. RNAcentral's name for it is "partial 16S ribosomal RNA". It matches the Rfam family "Bacterial small subunit ribosomal RNA", at positions 338 to 795 of the family's 1533-position model. The record is from RNAcentral.
CCUACGGGCGGCUGCAGUGGGGAAUUUUGGACAAUGGGGGCAACCCUGAUCCAGCCAUGCCGCGUGCGGGAAGAAGGCCUUCGGGUUGUAAACCGCUUUUGUCAGGGAAGAAAUCUUCCGAGCUAAUACCUUGGGAGGAUGACGGUACCUGAAGAAUAAGCACCGGCUAACUACGUGCCCGCAGCCGCGGUAAUACGUAGGGUACAAGCGUGAAUCGGAAUUACUGGACGCGAAGCGGCAACAGGCGGGUGAAAGCCCCGGGCUUAACCUGGGAACUGCACUUGUGACUGUACGGCUGGAGUACGGCAGAGGGGGAUGGAAUUCCGCGUGUAGCAGUGAAAUGCGUAGAUAUGCGGAGGAACACCGAUGGCGAAGGCAGUCCCCUGGGCCUGUACUGACGCUCAUGCACGAAAGCGUGGGGAGCAAACAGGAUUAGAUACCCGAGUAGUC